Molecule: transfer RNA, 87 nt
Filed under: Clostridia bacterium
Lineage: Bacteria; Bacillati; Bacillota; Clostridia
Description: tRNA-Leu
Rfam family: tRNA
About the family: Transfer RNA (tRNA) molecules are approximately 80 nucleotides in length. Their secondary structure includes four short double-helical elements and three loops (D, anti-codon, and T loops).
Source: RNAcentral
GCCGAGAUGGUGAAAUUGGCAGACGCGUCGGACUCAAAAUCCGAUAUCCGCAAGGAUGUGUGGGUUCAAGUCCCUCUCUCGGCACCA